Molecule: unclassified non-coding RNA, 181 nt
Organism: Chelonoidis abingdonii (Abingdon island giant tortoise)
Lineage: Eukaryota; Metazoa; Chordata; Testudines; Testudinidae
Source: Ensembl
GAAAGAUGCCAGAUUAAUAAUGCUCCAUCUGUCCACAGGACAGGUACAGCACAUGCAGCAGUAGUGUAAGCUUUCUUUAUACUGUCUGACCCUUUCAAAUAUACCUCAGAUCUCCCAUGGAUGAGGAGGAUCAGGGGUGAGAGGGAGUUCAUUGAUCAUAUGCAUUUAAUCCUUGGUACCU